Molecule: ribosomal RNA, 392 nt
Filed under: uncultured bacterium
Lineage: Bacteria
Description: partial 16S ribosomal RNA
Rfam family: Bacterial small subunit ribosomal RNA
Source: RNAcentral
AUACGUAGGUGACAAGCGUUAUCCGGAUUUACUGGGUUUAAAGGGUGCGCAGGCGGCCAUUUAAGUCAGCGGUUAAAUCGUGGGGCUCAACCCCAUUCUGCCGUUGAUACUGGGUGGCUUGAUUGCGGUCGAGGUUGGCGGAAUUCGUUGUGUAGCGGUGAAAUGCAUAGAUAUGACGAAGAACACCGAUUGCGUAGGCAGCUGACCAGACCGCAAAUGACGCUCAUGCACGAAAGUGCGGGGAUCGAACAGGAUUAGAUACCCUGGUAGUCCGCACAGUAAACGAUGAAUACUUGUUUUCGGCGAUAUAAUGUCGGAGGCAAAGCGAAAGCGAUAAGUAUUCCACCUGGGGAGUACGCCGGCAACGGUGAAACUCAAAUGAAUUGACGGGG